RNAcentral lists this ribosomal RNA (1345 nucleotides) under uncultured bacterium. RNAcentral describes it as "bacterial SSU rRNA". It matches the Rfam family "Bacterial small subunit ribosomal RNA", at positions 28 to 1381 of the family's 1533-position model. The record is from RNAcentral.
GAUGAACGCUAGCGGGAGGCCUAACACAUGCAAGCCGAGCGGUAUUGUUUCUUCGGAAAUGAGAGAGCGGCGUACGGGUGCGGAACACGUGUGCAACCUGCCUUUAUCUGGGGGAUAGCCUUUCGAAAGGAAGAUUAAUACUCCAUAAUAUAUUGAACGGCAUCGUUUAAUAUUGAAAGCUCCGGCGGAUAGAGAUGGGCACGCGCAAGAUUAGCUAGUUGGUGAGGUAACGGCUCACCAAGGCGAUGAUCUUUAGGGGGCCUGAGAGGGUGAUCCCCCACACUGGUACUGAGACACGGACCAGACUCCUACGGGAGGCAGCAGUGAGGAAUAUUGGUCAAUGGGUGCAAGCCUGAACCAGCCAUCCCGCGUGAAGGACGACUGCCCUAUGGGUUGUAAACUUCUUUUGUAUAGGGAUAGACCUACCCUCGUGAGGGUAGCUGAAGGUACUAUACGAAUAAGCACCGGCUAACUCCGUGCCAGCAGCCGCGGUAAUACGGAGGGUGCAAGCGUUAUCCGGAUUUAUUGGGUUUAAAGGGUCCGUAGGCGGACUUAUAAGUCAGUGGUGAAAGCCUGUCGCUUAACGAUAGAACUGCCAUUGAUACUGUAAGUCUUGAGUAUAUUUGAGGUAGCUGGAAUAAGUAGUGUAGCGGUGAAAUGCAUAGAUAUUACUUAGAACACCAAUUGCGAAGGCAGGUUACCAAGAUAUAACUGACGCUGAGGGACGAAAGCGUGGGGAGCGAACAGGAUUAGAUACCCUGGUAGUCCACGCCGUAAACGAUGCUAACUCGUUUUUGGGCUUUAGGGUUCAGAGACCAAGCGAAAGUGAUAAGUUAGCCACCUGGGGAGUACGCUCGCGAGAGUGAAACUCAAAGGAAUUGACGGGGGCCCGCACAAGCGGUGGAUUAUGUGGUUUAAUUCGAUGAUACGCGAGGAACCUUACCAAGACUUAAAUGGGAAUUGACAGCUUUAGAAAUAGAGCUUUCUUCGGACAAUUUUCAAGGUGCUGCAUGGUUGUCGUCAGCUCGUGCCGUGAGGUGUUAGGUUAAGUCCUGCAACGAGCGCAACCCCUGUCACUAGUUGCCAUCAUUCAGUUGGGGACUCUAGUGAGACUGCCUACGCAAGUAGAGAGGAAGGUGGGGAUGACGUCAAAUCAUCACGGCCCUUACGUCUUGGGCCACACACGUAAUACAAUGGCCGGUACAGAGGGCAGCUACACAGCGAUGUGAUGCAAAUCUCGAAAGCCGGUCUCAGUUCGGAUUGGAGUCUGCAACUCGACUCUAUGAAGCUGGAAUCGCUAGUAAUCGCGCAUCAGCCAUGGCGCGGUGAAUAAGUUCCCGGGCCU